RNAcentral lists this long non-coding RNA (376 nucleotides) under Macaca fascicularis (crab-eating macaque). RNAcentral's name for it is "lncRNA (ENSMFAG00000062560.1)". Lineage: Eukaryota; Metazoa; Chordata; Mammalia; Primates; Cercopithecidae. The record is from RNAcentral.
GAAUGCCCCAGUGGUCUGCAGGCUGCCAUGGGCUCAUGAUGGAGGUGGCUGCGGCUCUGGCGAGGACCCCCACCGAAGGCUGCAGAAAGGUUCCAGGCCUCCAUGUUGAUGGCAGAAGUGGCGAGGCAGCUCACCCUCCGCCCUGCUGAUUUCUGUGCACAUUUGGGAUGACGUUUUCAACAGCUCCAGUGCUGGAGCCAAGAGACAGUUGGCCUCAGGUUUCCACCUCAGUGGGUAUCCUGCCUCCCUGGGCCUGGCCCUCAGGGCGUGUCUCAGACCCUCACCCACCCAGCCCUGCACUCACGGGGACCUAGGCAUCCUCCUGGGUGGGAGGUGGUGCACAUGGGGUCGGGACGGGGUCAGGACGGGGUUGUUG